Molecule: ribosomal RNA, 773 nt
Filed under: Klebsiella sp.
Lineage: Bacteria; Pseudomonadati; Pseudomonadota; Gammaproteobacteria; Enterobacterales; Enterobacteriaceae
Description: bacterial SSU rRNA
Rfam family: Bacterial small subunit ribosomal RNA
Source: RNAcentral
AAGAGCUUGCUCUCGGGUGACGAGCGGCGGACGGGUGAGUAAUGUCUGGGAAACUGCCNGAUGGAGGGGGAUAACUACUGGAAACGGUAGCUAAUACCGCAUAACGUCGCAAGACCAAAGUGGGGGACCUUCGGGCCUCAUGCCAUCAGAUGUGCCCAGAUGGGAUUAGCUAGUAGGUGGGGUAAUGGCUCACCUAGGCGACGAUCCCUAGCUGGUCUGAGAGGAUGACCAGCCACACUGGAACUGAGACACGGUCCAGACUCCUACGGGAGGCAGCAGUGGGGAAUAUUGCACAAUGGGCGCAAGCCUGAUGCAGCCAUGCCGCGUGUAUGAAGAAGGCCUUCGGGUUGUAAAGUACUUUCAGCGAGGAGGAAGGCAUUAAGGUUAAUAACCUUGGUGAUUGACGUUACUCGCAGAAGAAGCACCGGCUAACUCCGUGCCAGCAGCCGCGGUAAUACGGAGGGUGCAAGCGUUAAUCGGAAUUACUGGGCGUAAAGCGCACGCAGGCGGUCUGUCNAGUCGGAUGUGAAAUCCCCGGGCUCAACCUGGGAACUGCAUUCGAAACUGGCAGGCUAGAGUCUUGUAGAGGGGGGUAGAAUUCCAGGUGUAGCGGUGAAAUGCGUANAGAUCUGGAGGAAUACCGGUGGCNAANGCGGCCCCCUGGACAAAGACUGACGCUCAGGUGCGAAAGCGUGGGGAGCAAACANGAUUAGAUACCCUGGUAGUCCACGCCGUAAACGAUGUCNACUUGNANGUUGUGCCCUUGAGGCGUG